GCAUGAUGAACACCUGAGAGUAGUGCUACAGACACUAAGGGAAAAGCAGUUGUAUGCCAAGUUGUCCAAGUGUGACUUCUGGAUGAGUGAAAUCUCUUUCCUUGGACACAUAGUAUCAGCUGAGGGGAUUAGAGUGGAUCCCAAAAAGAUAGAAGCAGUGAUGGAGUGGAAGCCUCCCAGAAAUACAACUAAUGUCAAAAGUUUCUUGGGGCUAGCUGGGUAUUAUAGAAGAUUUGUGAAGGGAUUUUCUCUAACAGCUGCUCCAAUGACCAA
This 273-nucleotide unclassified non-coding RNA is filed under the name Hevea brasiliensis (rubber tree). Lineage: Eukaryota; Viridiplantae; Streptophyta; Magnoliopsida; Malpighiales; Euphorbiaceae. The record is from RNAcentral.